UACGUAGGGGGCUAGCGUUGUCCGGAAUUAUUGGGCGUAAAGAGCGUGUAGGCGGCCAGAUAGGUCCGUUGUGAAAACUCGAGGCUCAACCUCGAGACGCCGAUGGAAACCAUCUGGCUAGAGUCCGGAAGAGGAGAGUGGAAUUCCCGGUGUAGCGGUGAAAUGCGCAGAUAUCGGGAAGAACACCCGUGGCUAAGGCGGCUCUCUAGUACGGUACUGACGCUGAGACGCGAAAGCGUGGGGAGCGAACAGG
Molecule: ribosomal RNA, 253 nt
Filed under: uncultured bacterium
Lineage: Bacteria
Description: partial 16S ribosomal RNA
Rfam family: Bacterial small subunit ribosomal RNA
Source: RNAcentral